CACCUCUAAUCAAUCUUAACAGACGAGAAGAGGUAGUGGACGAAGUAGAAGGAGAGCAGGAAACCAAUGGCGCCAGUGGAGAGCAUGAUUGCAAGGGCCAUGAUCAGGGAAUAGCCAAGGUAGAGUGUGGCAGAAACUGGUCCACUCAGGCUCCUGAGAUCGAACACCAGGUAGUUAAUAGAGUAGAGGAACACAUAGAAUGCGACAGAGCCAGAAGCAAAGAAGGCCUUCCACCACCAUUUCCAGUCCUCCACGCAAAGGUGCAUGUAGGUGAGGACCAGAGAAACCUCACCACAGACUAUGACCAGCAGGAAGAGGACAAUGAACAGGAAGCCAAAGACAUAGUAGAACCUUCCCAACCAAAUGCUGGAAAGGAUGAAGAAGAGCUCAAUGAAGAGAGUACCAAAUGGCAAUGUUCCCGCACCGAGCACAAGCAACCAUGGGGGGAACUUGCGCUCAGGGAUCUCUCGUGGGAUCUGGUUGGUUCGGACAGGGUAGUCGAUGCUUGCAGCACGUGUGCCUAGCAAGCCUCCAAUAAGUGUGAGUGGCACAGAGAUGCAGAACCACAGGGCCAGGAGGGUGAAGAACAGUGAGAUG
RNAcentral lists this unclassified non-coding RNA (597 nucleotides) under Zea mays. RNAcentral's name for it is "misc RNA Zm00001eb065480". Lineage: Eukaryota; Viridiplantae; Streptophyta; Magnoliopsida; Poales; Poaceae. The record is from RNAcentral.